Molecule: long non-coding RNA, 1143 nt
Organism: Stegostoma tigrinum
Lineage: Eukaryota; Metazoa; Chordata; Chondrichthyes; Orectolobiformes; Stegostomatidae
Exons: 3
Source: RefSeq, a predicted model, not a curated record
UUACAGGCUGCUUGUUAGAAGCACAGGGAAAGACUGGAACAUGAUAGGCAUUUGGGCGAAAAAUGAUAAGUAAAAGUAACAUGAGACGCCAUUUGAUUUAUUUUUGCACCGUAUAUGGGUGAGAGUGUCUUUAAAAGCGUGUAAUGUCCCUGGUUCCAGCAGCAAAAAAGUCCACUCGAUCAAGCACUUCUGUUCAGACCAGUGAGCUUUGCAGCCUAACAGAUGCCUCCCCACUGAAGUCCCAUCUGCCUAAAGGUGCUGAUAAUCAGUCAGACAUCCAAAGCUGCUAGGAUCUGGACACAGUCGAUGGAAAGUCUACGAAAAGCAGUAGAACAAAGGAUAAAUAUGGACCAGAGCACAAAGGAGAACACCCCUGCCAUCCUUCAGAUACGAUAUUUAUUAUGCUCUCCUGGUAGUGGUAAGCAGGGCCUUGGUUUACGGCCUCAUCCACCCUGCAGCAUCCAGGACAGUGCAACACUCCUUCAACCCUCUGUUGGACUGUCGGCCUGGAUUAUGGAUUCAUCACACAAAUGAGGUUUGAGCCCGUGAUCUUCAAAUUCAUGAGUGCCCUGCAGCCAGUGACAUCCUGACCCUGUGACCAGACAGGCAACCAAUAUUACCAUGCAACCCACACUACUGUGGAGAAUUGUGCUUGACAGGAAUUUUGGGACUCAUAACACCACUUGUAUCCUAUGUCCCUUCAAACAGUGAUUGUGGAAAUGCAGGAAUGUAACAACGCUGGUCCAAACUGACAGAAAAUUUGGAACAUGGAACACCAAUCCAACACAGCACAGAACCUAUAACAUUACAGUGCAAGAUUGUGCAGUAAUGUGCAAUGGAAUGUUCAGAAAAUACUCAAGUAAAGAGAACCACAUUCAUUUGCUCAAACAGCUAACCAAUUUAGAAACAAACCUUUCAAAGUUGGUCAACAACAGGAAGCAGUAGACCACACUGAACAUCAUCAAUUCUGGGCAGGGAAACAUUGAGAGAUGGAAUCAGUGAACCAAACUGAACAACCAAUAUCAUGGAAGACUGUGGGAGGUCCUGAUCAGGACAUUUUAAAUAACUCAUUGGAACCCUAUAAUCAUGUUUCUAAAUACUGAAGUGUUAUUUUGUUAAAAUUAUUUUCUGCAUCCUCUACAU